RNAcentral lists this ribosomal RNA (429 nucleotides) under Chloroflexota bacterium. RNAcentral's name for it is "Chloroflexi bacterium partial 16S ribosomal RNA". It matches the Rfam family "Bacterial small subunit ribosomal RNA", at positions 355 to 776 of the family's 1533-position model. The record is from RNAcentral. Lineage: Bacteria; Bacillati; Chloroflexota.
UAGGGAAUCUUCGGCAAUGGACGAAAGUCUGACCGAGCAACGCCGCGUGAGUGAAGAAGGUUUUCGGAUCGUAAAACUCUGUUGUUAGAGAAGAACAAGGACGUUAGUAACUGAACGUCCCCUGACGGUAUCUAACCAGAAAGCCACGGCUAACUACGUGCCAGCAGCCGCGGUAAUACGUAGGUGGCAAGCGUUGUCCGGCUUUAUUGGGCGUAAAGCGAGCGCAGGCGGUUUCUUAAGUCUGAUGUGAAAGCCCCCGGCUCAACCGGGGAGGGUCAUUGGAAGCUGAGAGACUUGAGUGCAGAAGAGGAGAGUGGAAUUCCAUGUGUAGCGGUGAAAUGCGUAGAUAUCUGGAGGAACACCGAUGGCGAAGGCAGGUCACUGGGCCAUUACUGACGCUGAGGAGCGAAAGCAUGGGUAGCGAACAGG